Molecule: long non-coding RNA, 1809 nt
Filed under: Setaria italica (foxtail millet)
Lineage: Eukaryota; Viridiplantae; Streptophyta; Magnoliopsida; Poales; Poaceae
Description: long non-coding RNA (SITA_LNC002164)
Source: RNAcentral
AGGGAUCUUUGGUGACGAGACCACUGCUGCGUGCAUUCGACUCGACCGACGGAUGGAUGCGAGGUACCGUGAUGUGCCUUAUCUCUGCAGACUCUGCUUGGUUGUGCCGAUGUCCACGGGCGCCUCGGAGUGGGAUGUACACUGCGACUGUAGAGUAGUAGACCUGCAGCUCCAAAGUGCCGUGCCGGUCCCUCGCCACAGGACGGUAGUACUGCGAGUGGCUUGUUCGGUAGGGUGGUUCUAGGCUAGCACGGGCCCGGGAUGGGCUGCUGAACCGCUCAAGAGGCGGCGUGGCUGCUCACAGCGACACGACAAGCUGAGAGCCUGGGACCAGGCUUAAGUUAACCACGUACUCGUGGUACCACAGACUAUGCUCUGAGGCCGGUACUUGUGAUUGCAUAUGGUCGUAUGUUUUCCGCGGCCCAGACAAAAGUUGCCGCGAACACUAGUUUACAGUUUAGUGUACAGCCGCGUUGGUGAAAGAGCCUUUUGUGAUCGGUUCAGGUUGGAACUUGUAAAGCGUGGCGUCGCAGACCACCGUUUUAACACCACGCCGUGCGUCAGGUGGAGAAAACACAGCCGCACCCGCCGCUCCGGCGCGGCAAAGGAAUACCCCAGCCUUCCGCACACGGGCGCCGUCGCAGCCACUUCGUCAGCCGCGACCUGCCGUUCCACCAAACGGUCAGCCGGUCCGCGCCGCCUGACGACCCUGGCUACGGGUUCACCGUUCACGGCUCGUCACGCCAUCUCGGCUGACGCGGGGGGCCGGGGGCGCGCGCGUGCCGCGCCGCGUCGGUCCAAUCCAACAGCCCAGCCCGGGCAAGCGAAAAGCAAGCGUACAAGUGCGACCGGGCGGCUACUUUUGGCCACCAACGGCGCGCCACGACGCUGACGCGCGCGAGGGGGAUAUUCCUGCGCCGGAACGGCACCCGGCGCCGAGACCGCGCGCUUUUCCGCUCUCCACUUUUCCGCCGUGGCUAACCCCAACCGCUCGGUGAGCCGCACGGUGAGGCGGUCACAUGCCGAAGCCGCGCGGCCGGCGCCCCACCAGAAGAGGUCGCGUACGGCCGGGUACGCGCAGCGGGGGCCCGGCCUGGCUCGGGCGGUCGCCGGGAGCCAGUCUCGUCUCGUCUCGGUACCCCCGGCUGGCCGGCGGGCAGGAGGACCGGGGGCAGACGCUGCGGUCGUGGAGUGACGAACGGGAGCGCCGCCGCCCCUCUAGGACCAGAGAGCCGCGACUGGCUGUCGAUCGAUGCGCGGGGACGUACGAGUUACGAGCCGCCCUCUCUUCUUCUAAGUAAGUGGGUUCAUUCAUAGCUUUGUUGGUUCCAAGCAUAUAACCGACCAUAAAUUUAGAGUAAAUAUACAAAUUUCUUAACAAUAAAUUAGUUCUAAUUGUUCAAACCCAUUGAUCUACUAUAUAAUAACCUUUGCUAAUGACACAGAUGAGAGAUAUGAAGGAAGCACUCCUCGAGAUAGAAAAAAUCAGGGCAAUUCAAGAACAACUCAGUGAAUUUCUUCUGGACGAGGUAGUAAAUCCAGCGAGGGAGUUCCAUAAUGAUGGAUCAAAUCUACAUCACCGUCAGGACUCGGGUUCAAAAUAGUCGAUCCAAAAUGUUGAACUCGGAAAGUUGAUGCAAUGUAAUAUUAUUCAUACAUGUGUAUGCACAAUAUAUAUGUAUAUAUAUAAUAUUAUAGAUAAAUACAACUAUAUAUAUAUUAGUGUAUUAGAAUAAAAGAAAUAAAUACGAAAUACUAAUAUAGAAUAAAGAAACAGAAAAGAAAAUAAGAAAAGAAAUAGAAAAAAAG